UCGAACGGUUCCUUCGGGGACAGUGGCAGACGGGUGAGUAACGCGUGGGAACGUGCCCUUCGGUUCGGAAUAACUCAGGGAAACUUGAGCUAAUACCGGAUACGUCCGAGAGGAGAAAGAUUUAUCGCCGAAGGAUCGGCCCGCGUCUGAUUAGCUAGUUGGUGUGGUAACGGCGCACCAAGGCGACGAUCAGUAGCUGGUCUGAGAGGAUGAUCAGCCACACUGGGACUGAGACACGGCCCAGACUCCUACGGGAGGCAGCAGUGGGGAAUAUUGGACAAUGGGCGCAAGCCUGAUCCAGCCAUGCCGCGUGAGUGAUGAAGGCCCUAGGGUUGUAAAGCUCUUUUAUCCGGGACGAUAAUGACGGUACCGGAAGAAUAAGCCCCGGCUAACUUCGUGCCAGCAGCCGCGGUAAUACGAAGGGGGCUAGCGUUGCUCGGAAUCACUGGGCGUAAAGGGCGCGUAGGCGGACGUUUAAGUCAGGGGUGAAAUCCCGGGGCUCAACCUCGGAAUUGCCUUUGAUACUGGAUGUCUCGAGACCGGAAGAGGUAAGUGGAACUGCGAGUGUAGAGGUGAAAUUCGUAGAUAUUCGCAAGAACACCAGUGGCGAAGGCGGCUUACUGGUCCGGAUCUGACGCUGA
This 641-nucleotide ribosomal RNA is filed under the name Rhizobium sp. SRM1C. Its description in RNAcentral is "bacterial SSU rRNA". It matches the Rfam family "Bacterial small subunit ribosomal RNA", at positions 62 to 749 of the family's 1533-position model. Lineage: Bacteria; Pseudomonadati; Pseudomonadota; Alphaproteobacteria; Hyphomicrobiales; Rhizobiaceae. The record is from RNAcentral.